GAUGAACGCUGACAGAAUGCUUAACACAUGCAAGUCGAUGGGGAAGUGGUGCUUGCACCAUGGUAACCAUGGCGGACGGGUGAGUAACGCGUAAGGAACUUACCUGCGGGACCGGGAGAACAGCAGGAAACUGCUGACAAGACCGGAUAAGGUCAUUAAGCUGCAUAGCUUAGUGAUGAAAGGAGACGCCUGCGGAGAGCCUUGCGUCCUAUUAGCUAGUUGGAGGGGUAACGGCCCACCAAGGCGAAGAUAGGUAGCCGGCCUGAGAGGGUGGACGGCCACAAGGGGACUGAGAUACGGCCCUUACUCCUACGGGAGGCAGCAGUGGGGAAUAUUGGACAAUGGGGGCAACCCUGAUCCAGCAAUUCUGUGUGCACGAAGACGGUUUUCGGAUUGUAAAGUGCUUUCAGCAGGGAAGAAGGAAGUGACGGUACCUGCAGAAGAAGCGACGGCUAAAUACGUG
This 463-nucleotide ribosomal RNA is filed under the name uncultured bacterium. Its description in RNAcentral is "partial 16S ribosomal RNA". It matches the Rfam family "Bacterial small subunit ribosomal RNA", at positions 28 to 507 of the family's 1533-position model. The record is from RNAcentral.